UACGUAGGUCCCGAGCGUUGUCCGGAUUUAUUGGGCGUAAAGCGAGCGCAGGUGGUUUAUUAAGUCUGGUGUAAAAGGCAGUGGCUCAACCAUUGUAUGCAUUGGAAACUGGUAGACUUGAGUGCAGGAGAGGAGAGUGGAAUUCCAUGUGUAGCGGUGAAAUGCGUAGAUAUAUGGAGGAACACCGGUGGCGAAAGCGGCUCUCUGGCCUGUAACUGACACUGAGGCACGAAAGCGUGGGUAUCGAACAGG
Molecule: ribosomal RNA, 252 nt
Filed under: uncultured bacterium
Lineage: Bacteria
Description: partial 16S ribosomal RNA
Rfam family: Bacterial small subunit ribosomal RNA
Source: RNAcentral